ACAGAUAUUUCAGGAACCCAUGAAAUGAUGCACUUAGGUCCACUUAGGUAACUACUCAACCAAGGAACAAACCUCAGACUAAGUGUCCAGUGGAGGGCAAUCCCAGGGGGCAGGUGGACAAUUCUUGGGUACUGCUUGGCAGCUAUGUGUCCAAUAGCAGUGCUCCUUACUGCAGACCCAGGGAUGACUCCUACCUGUCUCUGACAUACCCCAUAUGCAAAAGCACAAAGAACAUUUAUCCAUACAUCUCGAUACAGUUCCUAAGUGUGUGCACAUGUACAUAACGCACACAGAAAUUCAGGCAACAGGUACAUGGGCAAGUAUAUUCUGCUCACUAAAUGGUUAUUGGCUAUGUACUUUGUGCAGGGAAGUACAUUAUCUACAGUCACAAAAAUGUCUCACGGGAAAGCCUAGCCAGAUUCAGACACAUAUAUACAAUUACAUAACCAGCAAGGCUCCCCAUACACCGUCUAUUCCAUAAACCACUCAGGUUAGAGAUGCAUGCUUUCCUAUUUCUAUCUCUACACAUAAACUUUUACUAGAAGUACCCAUAAUUGGACAUUCCAGCAACCUGCUACAGUCCCCACCCCUGUGCGUCUUGAUACAAACACACCAAAUUGCUGUGUCUCUGACCCCUCAACUGUGCCAAGAUGUUUAAAGAGUGAUGGAUCAAAAUUCAUUGAAAGCACUUUUUCUUGUAAUUCCUGACAAGGUCCGUCCUCAUUGCCACUGAGAGGUGUUUAAGGUGGUCCAAGACCUCUCUUUGAAACAUGACCCUCCCCAAACCACUCAGCAAAGUGCCUUUCUCCAAGCAAGAACAAAGAGCUCUUGGUAGUGACUCCUAGAAAGCUAUGGAAGCCCACUCAGUUAUGUCAGUGGACUGCAAUUGUGUACCUGUGCAACGAAUGUUUUACAGAUGGAAAGGGUAAGGAGGUGCUACACCUGAGCUAGGUACCUCCUGUGUAACCAGAGUUUCCAGCAGGGAAAGGACUAGACAAUCAUCAGUACAGUCUCACAGAAGGCCACACUGGAAGUGAUGUCAUAAGGUGGUAAUGGGUGUAUGGUAUGGCACAGGUGGAAUGCAGAGGUAACAAAGUUUCAAUGAAAGUAGGAUGAAACCAUAAAGAGGUUUAUUUAUAUUUAUCUUGAAGCUCAGGCAAGUGCCUUGCACACAGUAGGUUCUUAGAACUGUCUGUGGUUACUGUUGGACAUGUGAUGUUGCUAAGGGUAAGCUUGUAAUACCUCACACCAGCUCUCCCCAAGUGACCUUCUCUUCUAAGUGAGCCCACUAAUUGCUGCAAUGGAUGAAAUCGAGUGUUUAAGGCUGCAAGAGAGUGCAUGUAGGCGACACGUGUGCCCUGAGGUAUGUGAGGACGUGUCAAUUAGAUCCACAGUGAGCUGAGGAGGGCUUUCCCUGCCAGACCGAGGUUGGGAAGCAGAGUUAAUCCACUUACAGGAUGAACUGGUUGGUAUUUUGACUGUAUUGUGACUAUGGCAAAGAUGGACAGUUCACACCUUGGGAGCAAGUUGUGUUCUAAAAGUUUAUUUGCAAAUAUACUAGGAAGCUCUCUUGAAAUAUUUUCCCAUUUACUCUACACAGUGGCAAAAUCGCUAAUUAAUAAUAUAGGUAAACUAUGACAUUUAUAGUAGCAAAAAACUAAAUUCUAUAAAAUUACAUUAAAUGAAAUUUGCUGCUGAGUAAAUGAAAGCAAAUACUGUUGGCUCACUUGGGCCGUCUGGUACUCACCUGCCCUCCAGGUGUACUUUAGGCCUGUGGAGGGUGGCAUCUAGUGGUGACCCUUGCACCAGGGUUUUCUAACAGAUGACCCUGUGAAUCAUAAUUCAGACCUGCAUAUAUUUUAGAGCCAGUCACAUUUGCCCUCUCACUCUAUAUGGCCAUAAACUGCCUAAGCACUCAGGCCUCCUACUCAUCAACCCCUUUGACCAGAGAAAGAAGCAGUCUGGUUCUCUAUCCCCUUGUCACAGAGAGAGUUUGUCAUGGAGCCUCUGCCUGUGCCCUUCACAUAGCAGAAUCACUGUCAUCUACCUGCACCAAACCCAGAUAUGUGGGAGAUGUCUCCCCACACCUCCCACUGCCCACCAGGACAAGCUGCCCUUCCUGUCUCCACCUCUCAGUCCCCCUAAUAUGGGUGGCCAGGGAGAUGUGGAGGCUGACAGCUGAGACGUGGUGUCAGAUGUGAUCUAGGAGGAAGGAUCACCAGGAUCCGGGACCACACAAGUAACAUGGUUUCCAUGGCAACUGCUUGCUCCUUUGAAUUAAGACAGCAGUCAGUUGUCAUUGCCAUGACAAGGCCUCUAUCUCCAGGCACAGUGUCCCUGAUGUCUCCUAAUCCAACGGACUGGCUCUCACUGCAGGCAUAAAACACCCAGAAACUCACUCUCAGUCACUUCCACAGCCGAUGACUCAGAAGAAGCAAACCCAGAAUGGGGCUUCUCUUUUCCCCACCACAGCCGCCCUGACAACCUUUCCUGGCAUACCUAGAGGAGUGCCAACGCAGGAUAGGCCCGAAAAUUUUUGUUAAAUAAACAGGUGCAUGAAAGGAGCGAACAAACAAGGCGAUUGUUGGUGUCCACUCUCUUCUUUCCACUUCCUUCCCAUCUUUCCAUGUUUUAUGCUUCUCUGAUUCCCUCUUCUGCCUGUACCAGGCAGCCCCAGCCCUUUAUUCUUCUCCAUUUUCACUCCUUCCAGCCUCUGUCCCUGAACUGCCACUGGCAACCCACGGGACCUCAGGACCAGAGACUGCUAGACUCAUCUGGGGAGGUUAAGCUCAUGGGGGACAAAAAAGGGAUUCCUAAAGAAGAGGCUUCCUAGACCAGCACAGGCUCAAGAAAGGGAUCCCCUAGGCCUGGACUUCUGAGCACCUUCAGCCAGGUUCCAGCCAACAGCCAGAGAAGGCCUUUCCCCAUCACUCAGUGGGUUCCAUGUUUUUAUUUCUUGGGAGAAGCAGGGAGGGAGAAAGGUAGAAAAAGGGAAGUCGCCUUUCCAAGAAGAAUAUAACUGGUCCAAGCUGUAUAGUAUUUGUCAGUAUUUUUUUCUGUAAAGUUCAAGCACACACAAAAGAAAAACUUAUUUAAAUAAAAUACUUUGGAAAUGAAAA
Molecule: RNA transcript, 3119 nt
Organism: Sapajus apella (tufted capuchin)
Lineage: Eukaryota; Metazoa; Chordata; Mammalia; Primates; Cebidae
Exons: 1
Source: RefSeq, a predicted model, not a curated record